GACGAACGCUGGCGGCGUGCUUAACACAUGCAAGUCGUACGGUAAGGCCCUUUCGGGGGUACACGAGUGGCGAACGGGUGAGUAACACGUGAUUAACCUGCCCACAACUUUGGGAUAACGCUUGGAAACUGGUGCUAAUACUGGAUAUGUGCUCCUGCUGCAUGUUGGGGGUUGGAAAGCUCCGGCGGUUGUGGAUGGACUCGCGGCCUAUCAGCUUGUUGGUGGGGUAGUUGCCUACCAAGGCGGCGACGGGUAGCCGGCCUGAGAGGGUGACCGGGCACAUUGGGACUGAGAUACGGACCAGACUCAUACGGGAGGCAGCAGUGGGGAAUAGUGCACAAGGGGAGCAAGCCAGAUGCAGCAACGCCGCGUGCGGGAGGACGGCCUACGGGUUGUAAACCGCUUUCAGCAGGGACGAAGCUUUUUGUGACGGUACCUGCAGAAGAAGCACCGGCUAACUACGUG
RNAcentral lists this ribosomal RNA (465 nucleotides) under uncultured bacterium. RNAcentral describes it as "partial 16S ribosomal RNA". It matches the Rfam family "Bacterial small subunit ribosomal RNA", at positions 28 to 507 of the family's 1533-position model. The record is from RNAcentral.